AGAAUUUUCACACAUUUAAUUAAAAAAUAAUAAAAAAGUUUAAUUAAAAAUGAAUGCAACACAAAUGAGAAAAGAGAAAUUAUUCUUAUUUUAUAGUUCAAGCAUCUAAAAAACCUUCUUUUUAUGCGUCUAGGAAAGCUUCAAAAUUCUAGUUUCACUAUAACAACAAAUAAAAAUAGUUUUCAUCUGUUCCUAAAAGUUAUUUUUUUAUGUUUAAGAAAAGGCAUAAUUCUUACAUAAAUAAAAGUUCAUAUAUCUAUUUAAUAGAUUUUUAAAAAAUUCAGAGGAUUAACAAUAGAUUUUUCAAGAAAAAUACUGGAUUUAAAUUAUAAAUAUAUAGAUGUAUUCCUAUUUGAUCACUAUUGAUGCAAUAUAAAUUAUCCGACUACUUAAAUCAAUGUCGCAUAUCACACGGAGUCCUCCUAUACAUUAUCACUAGGAAACCCUAUGAGGUAUGAUGCGUCAAAUACAAUACAAGCUUUACAUAUUUAUUUAAUAUCUAAACAUUUGAUAUCAUGGGUGGAUCCAACCAAAGGCGGGUUCAGAAUUGGAACCAGACCAGAAAUAAACUAGCUUAAACUGAACAAAACUGAAUCGAAACUAAUCAAAUUAAUUUGAUUUAAACCGUAAAUGAAUUGAAAUAGAAUGGGAUGAUUCUCAGUCUAACCACCUUUUUUAUUUAAAAAAUUUUUAA
This 694-nucleotide unclassified non-coding RNA is filed under the name Hevea brasiliensis (rubber tree). The record is from RNAcentral. Lineage: Eukaryota; Viridiplantae; Streptophyta; Magnoliopsida; Malpighiales; Euphorbiaceae.